Pimephales promelas (fathead minnow) is the source of this 596-nucleotide non-coding RNA. Lineage: Eukaryota; Metazoa; Chordata; Actinopteri; Cypriniformes; Leuciscidae. The record is from RefSeq and is a predicted model, not a curated record.
AACAACAACAACCUGCGACUGGAUUGCUUGGAGGUGGCGGUUUAGACUGCUAUGAGCCAUAUAACCCCGUGUUAGGCUGAAGAGCGCUUAACGCUUUUUUUAUUUUAGUUUGUUGUGUUUGGUACGUCGGACGCGGGUAGACUGGUUAGCAGUUGAGCUGCAUGUGGGCGUACUGAAGACUAGGGUUGAGAUGAUUAGUUGUUUAUGUAUUAGUUAGAUACGGGGUGGCUUUUCCCUCAUGCAGUUGAAGUGUAACCAGUUGGAUCGCUCUUUCCCUCUGCUGUGGCACAGAAGAACCCUGGUGUGCCCAAACUCUUUUUUUCUGAGCUGCCCACAUCGACUACAUGUGUGGGCCUACUGUUUUCGAACAUGUUUCUGUGGAGGGGGCAGCACUUGUUUCCGGGCUAAAAACUCUUCCUCUUCCUCCACAAAGUUGUUCUACUCAAAGGUUCUCUUGUGAUCUGCAUGUGACAAAGUUAAUGAGAGAGCGCUCUCUCUGCAACAGCGUCUCUAUGCUGUAACACAAGCUGUGAGGAAUGGAUGGAGAGGUCCCUGCGAUACCUCUCUGUGUGUGACCGGUUCUGGGGUACCACCAC